AAGCUAUCCCUCGCUGCUAAGCUAUCGCUGCCAACCUAUCUAUCGCUGCCAACCUAUCUAUCGCUGUCAAUUUAUCUACCACUGUCAAUCUAUCUAUUGCUGCUAAUCUAUCGCCGCUGUCAAUCUAUCCCUCACUGCUAAGCUAUCCCUCGCUGCUAAGCUAUCACUGCCAAUCUAUCUAUCGCUGCCAAUCUAUCUAUCGCUGCCAAUUUAUCUACCACUGCCAAUCUAUCUAUUGCUGCUAAUCUAUCGCUGCUGCCAAUCUAUCCCUUGCUGCUAAGCUAUCGCUGCCAACCUAUCUACCACUGCCAAUCUAUCUAUUGCUGCUAAUCUAUCGCUGCUGCCAAUCUAUCCCUUGCUGCUAAGCUAUCGCUGCCAAUCUAUCUACCACUGCCAAUCUAUCUAUUGCUGCUAAUCUAUCGCUGCUGCCAAUCUAUCCCUUGCUGCUAAGCUAUCGCUGCCAACCUAUCUAUCGCUGCCAAUUUAUCUACCACUGCCAAUCUAUCUAUUGCUGCUAAUCUAUCGCUGCUGUCAAUCUAUCCCUCACUGCUAAGCUAUCCCUCGCUGCUAAGCUAUCACUGCCAACCUAUCUACCGCGGCGAAUCUAUCUAUCGCUGCCAAUUUAUCUACCACUGCCAAUCUAUCUAUCGCUGUCAAUCUAUUGCUGCUAAUCUAUCGCUGCUAAUCUAUCGCUGCUGCCAAUCUAUCUUUCGCUGCUAAUCUAUCGCCGCUGCCAAUCUAUCCCUCGCUGCUAAGCUAUCCCUCGCUGCUAAGCUAUCCCUCACUGCUAAGCUAUCUCUCGCUGCUAAGCUAUCCCUCACUGCUAAGCUAUCCCUCACUGCUAAGCUAUCCCUCACUGCCAAUCUAUCUAUCACUGCUAAUCUAUCGCUGCUAAUCUAUCGCUGCUAAUCUAUCGCUGCUAAUCUAUCGCUGCUAAUCUAUCGCUGCUAAUCUAUCGCUGCCAACCUAUCUACCGCGGCGAAUCUAUCUAUCACUAUCAUUACUAGUUCAAAAUAGAACUAGAGCAUAAAUACACUAAACUUCUUUUGAUAGGUAAUGAUUUUUGGUAACACUCAUAGCAUUAUAUCAUCUAUAUAGGGUAAAUCAUGGUCCCAUUUGGUCCCAUUUUAACAAAAUGGGACCAAAUGAGACCAGAAUCAGUAAUUUAUAAGAAGAACAUGACCUGGGACUAGAUUUAUAAUAUAAACAGUGUAAAGUGACUAAUUUAAUAAACACUAUAUGGGACCAGGACUAAGAAAUUUGAUAAUGGGACUGGAGAAAUAUUUAGUCCCAGUCCCAUGCAUGAUCACACAGCC
RNAcentral lists this small RNA (1316 nucleotides) under Histoplasma ohiense. RNAcentral describes it as "hypothetical lncRNA". Lineage: Eukaryota; Fungi; Ascomycota; Eurotiomycetes; Onygenales; Ajellomycetaceae. The record is from RNAcentral.